GGAUAAAUCUUGAAAUUUCUUUUCAAGUUUAUUUGAUUUUCAUGAUUGAAUUUCAGGAUUCUAAAUAGUAAUAAUUUAGUCCAUCUUCUAAAGCAUCCAAAUUGAUAGAUUUUCUGCCAUUUUCCACUGUUUUGAAAUUGUAAGUUACGUUUAUUUGAGUAAGAUCCAUCAAAUUGUAUGUGUUCUUUCAUUUGGUGAUUACUUCUCGUGUUGCACGUCAUGUGAUUAAUUUCCUGUUGUGCGUUUUUAUAUUAUAGGUGUUCUUAUAUUUGUCCUUGUUUCCCACAUGAGAAAGGCGGAUGGAUCACCUGUAUGACUGCUGAAAAUGUAUUUGUGUAGCAUCUGGUUUCUUU
This 353-nucleotide unclassified non-coding RNA is filed under the name Hevea brasiliensis (rubber tree). The record is from RNAcentral. Lineage: Eukaryota; Viridiplantae; Streptophyta; Magnoliopsida; Malpighiales; Euphorbiaceae.